RNAcentral lists this ribosomal RNA (253 nucleotides) under uncultured bacterium. Its description in RNAcentral is "partial 16S ribosomal RNA". It matches the Rfam family "Bacterial small subunit ribosomal RNA", at positions 524 to 776 of the family's 1533-position model. The record is from RNAcentral.
UACGGAGGAUCCGAGCGUUAUCCGGAUUUAUUGGGUUUAAAGGGUGCGUAGGCGGCCUGGUAAGUCAGGGGUGAAAGACGGUAGCUUAACUAUCGCAGUGCCCUUGAUACUGCUGGGCUUGAAUGUAGUUGAGGUAGGCGGAAUGUGACAAGUAGCGGUGAAAUGCAUAGAUAUGUCACAGAACACCAAUUGCGAAGGCAGCUUACUAAAGUAUGAUUGACGCUGAGGCACGAAAGCGCGGGGAUCAAACAGG